Stenotrophomonas daejeonensis is the source of this 104-nucleotide regulatory RNA element. It matches the Rfam family "Glycine riboswitch aptamer". From Rfam's summary of the family: This family represents the bacterial glycine riboswitch. Glycine riboswitches usually consist of two metabolite-binding aptamers domains with similar structures in tandem. Lineage: Bacteria; Pseudomonadati; Pseudomonadota; Gammaproteobacteria; Lysobacterales; Lysobacteraceae. The record is from Rfam.
CAACAAAACUCUGGAGAGACCGGUUCAAUCCGGCGCCGAAGGUGCACGAAGCGCGCGGUCCCCGCCGCUUCCAAACUCUCAGGCAAAAGGACAGAGGGGCACGA